Molecule: ribosomal RNA, 440 nt
Filed under: uncultured bacterium
Lineage: Bacteria
Description: partial 16S ribosomal RNA
Rfam family: Bacterial small subunit ribosomal RNA
Source: RNAcentral
CCUACGGGAGGCAGCAGUGGGGAAUAUUGCACAAUGGGGGAAACCCUGAUGCAGCGACGUCGCGUGAGUGAGGAAGUACCUCGGUAUGUUAAGCUCCAUCAGCAGGGAAGAAAAUGACGGUACCUGACUCAGAUGCCCCGGCUAACUACGUGCCAGCAGCCGCGGCUAUAUGUAGGGGGCCAGCGUUAUCCGGAUUUACUGGGUGUAAAGGGAGCGUAGACGGUUAAUCAAGUCAGAAGUGAAAACCCAGGGCUCAACCUUGGGACUGCUUUUGAAACUGAGUAGCUAGAGUGCAGGAGAGGUAGGCGGAAUGCCUGGUGUAGCGGUGAAAUGCGUAGAUAUUAGGAAGAACACCAGUGGCGAAGGCAGCUUACUGGACUGUAACUGACGUUGAGGCUCGAAAGUGUGGGUAGCAAACAGGAUUAGAUACCCUUGUAGUC